RNAcentral lists this long non-coding RNA (583 nucleotides) under Gallus gallus (chicken). RNAcentral describes it as "long non-coding RNA NONGGAT003773". Lineage: Eukaryota; Metazoa; Chordata; Aves; Galliformes; Phasianidae. The record is from RNAcentral.
UCCAAGCAUUUCUUGUAAUGGCGUCAUGACUCGAAAGCAAAUUGCAACCAACCAAAGCAGGGGAAGAAGCAAGCCCUGACCCCACCAACCUGCAGAAGUACCAAUUACUGGGAGCUAUUAUCACGCUGAGUGCAGUAGGACUGCUCACCUGGGUAACAGCCAGAAGAAAUAGGCCUCAGAGAAGGACCUGCUGAAAAUCAGACACAACGCAGAUGAAUGCAGGCCACUUGACAGCAGAAGGUUGUCAGGAAGCCAAACUGGAAAGAGCAAUCCAAACCUAAAAUAAAAUCACCUACAUUUUCUAAAUAAAGGAAUAAAUGAAAUGGCAUAUGGAACUCAUGUAUGCAACUAUGUAUGGAGCGUGGAAAUCCUAGAAAGCUGGGGGCAAACUGAUGGAAAAUGAGGCCAAAAUUCACAGUAGAGGCUAAAACUACAGUCUGGGGCAGCCCCACUUAUGAUGGCAGGGACGCAUCCUAAUGCUUGUGCCUUUGAAGACAGCCCUCGUGUAUUUAUGUGCCAGCAGCCCCCUUACCAUUAGAAAUCCAGGAUACAGAUUAAAGCAAUAGCAGGUGGCAAUGUAAUU